This is a long non-coding RNA of Lontra canadensis (Northern American river otter), 262 nucleotides long. RefSeq lists it as uncharacterized. Lineage: Eukaryota; Metazoa; Chordata; Mammalia; Carnivora; Mustelidae. The transcript is spliced from 3 exons. The record is from RefSeq and is a predicted model, not a curated record.
AAUGCUAUGCUUCCAUCCUUGGCACCUCCAACCAUCAAGGAGCUUGAAUCAGUUGCCAAGAAUGUGAGUCACACCCCCCAUGAGAAGGAUUCUCAGUGAGGGGAAAAAUUUGCUCCUUCCACCAUGACUUCCUUUAACAGAGAACAUUACCAUUGCAAUAGUUGCAUAAGACUCCCAACCACUGCAGUUUCCCAUUCCAAUCAAAAUAAAGUUCAAACUCUUGCGGUAGCCUCCAACAGGUGACUCGGCUCCUGCCCACCUC